RNAcentral lists this unclassified non-coding RNA (339 nucleotides) under uncultured fungus. Its description in RNAcentral is "partial contains small subunit ribosomal RNA, internal transcribed spacer 1, and 5.8S ribosomal RNA". The stretch from base 1 to 73 matches the Rfam family "Eukaryotic small subunit ribosomal RNA", at positions 1759 to 1831 of the family's 1831-position model. The record is from RNAcentral. Lineage: Eukaryota; Fungi.
CCAAACUUGGUCAUUUAGAGGAAGUAAAAGUCGUAACAAGGUUUCCGUAGGUGAACCUGCGGAAGGAUCAUUAUGGAGUGGGUGGCUUGUAAUAGGCCCAAUCUCUCUCUCCCUUGUAUUAAUUACUAUGUUGCUUUGGUGGAUCCCCCCGUUUAAGAGGGGGCUUUGGAGUCCCUAGUGUGAGAUUCUAGGUGCCGAAGCUGCUAUCCACCAGAGGCUUUUUGAUUUUUAAAAUGCUUGUAAAAAUUGGGACAGUCUGAAUGGGAGUUUGCAAAUUAGCAGGAAGAAAAAACUUUCAACAAUGGAUCUCUUGGUUCCGGCAUCGAUGAAGAACGCAGC